Molecule: ribosomal RNA, 301 nt
Filed under: uncultured bacterium
Lineage: Bacteria
Description: partial 16S ribosomal RNA
Rfam family: Bacterial small subunit ribosomal RNA
Source: RNAcentral
CAGCCGCCACGGUAAUACGAAGGGUGCAAGCGUUACUCGGAAUUACUGGGCGUAAAGCGUGCGUAGGUGGUGGUUUAAGUCCGUUGUGAAAGCCCUGGGCUCAACCUGGGAAUUGCAGUGGAUACUGGAUCACUAGAGUGUGGUAGAGGAUAGUGGAAUUUCCGGUGUAGCAGUGAAAUUCGUAGAUAUUGGGAAGAACACCGGUGGCGAAGGCGGCGACCUGGUCCAUAACUGACGCUGAGGCGCGAAAGCGUGGGGAGCAAACAGGAUUAGAUACCCGAGUAGUCCCUGUCUCUUAUAC